This 2117-nucleotide long non-coding RNA is filed under the name Solanum tuberosum (potato). RNAcentral describes it as "long non-coding RNA (STUB_LNC002247)". Lineage: Eukaryota; Viridiplantae; Streptophyta; Magnoliopsida; Solanales; Solanaceae. The record is from RNAcentral.
AACCAUUUGUUAAAAAGGACUAGGAGUUAGAAGAAAGGUUAUGAAAACUAUUAUGUGAAGCUUUGGCUUUCUGAUCCUCUCAUCUCCCUUCUAUGGUCUAGUAUCUCAUCCCCUUCUAGUUACCUUCUUCUAAGUUAAGCUAUCCAUAAUUAGUGUGUUAUUACUUUGGUGUGCGUACUCUACGAUAUAACUUGUAUUCAGUGAUUAAUAUAUAUAAGAGUGCUUUUGUUGGAAUUGAGUUUGUUACAUUGGUGCUUUCAUCCAGAGGUCUCUCUAAUGGAGGACCAAAAAGUACUCGAGGUUUUUGUUGGUGAUUCCAUUCGGAAUUCAAUACAAGAAAUGAAGGAUUGCAUCUCUAAAGAUCUCACUGAAUUUCGUUCAAUGUUGCUGGAGGUUUUGGGGGAAAAGCAUCCGACUUCUUUUGAACCCAAAAACACAGUCAUGGACGUCGAAUUAUGGCAGUUUCGAGGCAAGAAUACAGAGGCUUGGAUAGUUCAAGCAGAACAUUAUUUCAAUUUCUAUAAAAUUGAGGAAGAUCAAAAGCUUAACGUGGCGUCAUUCUACCUUGAUGGUGAAGCAUUGGAAUGGUACCAAUGGUUAUUAAGGAAUAAUCAAUUAAUUGAUUGGAUGCAUUUCGCUGAAAAGGUGAGAAUUCGAUUUAAACAGAAAGUAUGUGAGUCUGCUGGAGGGAGAUUUGCCAAUCUCUGGCAGGUACCCUCUGUGACUGAGUACCCAAAUCGUUUAGAGGUCGUUUCGUCGAAUUUCGGCCAGCCAGAUAUACUUUCGCCAUGCCUUGCACAUGUAACCGAUUCACCCUUGCCUCAAAACUAUGAUGAGCAAUCAGAAAACCCAAUCAAAAUUGAUGAGCACAAGGUGUUCGAUGAAAUGUUAAAUAGUAACUGCCCCAAGGUAUUUACUGUGGCAUUAGGUGCUCCUUUUGAAAUUCGCGAUGAAAAUGUUAUAGGUCCUGAUGGCAGCAAAGUCCAGUUGUUCUAUGGGCAUCCUCAAAUAGAUAUGUCAGAGAGGUAUGUUACAACAACUUCUCUGGAUUGUGGCUCUUGUAAACAAGAAGUUGGUCUUAAUUUCUUUGCAGACAUGUAUCUUGCUGAAUUUUUCUUGGAGCCUGAGAGUAUUGAGGAUUUAUAUCUGGAUAAUUUUUUUAUAAAGAAUGAAAGUGGUAUUCCAAUAAGUGAACUACUUUCAGAUGAAAUGACCUCCAUGGAUAUGGCUCUAACAGGUUAUUCAGUGAAUGCAGAGACAUUACUUUUGUUGGGAUCUAGUAGCACGUUUUAUUUCAUUAUAUAUGCUAACCAUAUGACACAAGUGUGGGAUCCAGGACGACGAUGGUGCGGUGCUUACACCACUACUUAUCGGACAUUUGUUCAGUUUGAAAUUUUAAGGGAUAUUAAUUUCAUUUGCUACUGUUGCAUUAACUAACAGGGAAGUGAUUACUGGUUAGUGGACAAUGUGGUGUUUGUAAGACUAACACUAGCUACUACAAUACUUAAGCACAGUUUUGAUUUUUUUGGGUGGCCUUAGAAGCAUUGAAGAGCAACUGGUGGAACAUGAAAGCCUGACCACUGAUGUAAUUACAGGAGGCAUGGCUUGUGUUAUUCAUCUUCGUAAUUUAGAAUCUGCAAAGGGUACUGAAGUUGAUUCAUCAGUACUUGAGGUUAGCAACUCUUGAUUUCACUCUAACACUAAAGCAGUAGCUCUCGGCUCACCUUCAAGCCUGGACAGAGUUACUAUUGUAAUGUCACGGUGAGUCCACUCGAACCUUGAGGACAAGGUUCUUUUUGAGGGCGGGAGUAUUGUUGUGAAUCAAGUUGUCUCUGAAAGGCCUAUGGGCUAUUAGAGACUUUUAUUUGGGAUCCAGGCCCAAUAACCAUUUGUUAAAAAGGACUAGGAGUUAGAAGAAAGGUUAUGAAAACUAUUAUGUGAAGCUUUGGCUUUCUGAUCCUCUCAUCUCCCUUCUAUGGUCUAGUAUCUCAUCCCCUUCUAGUUACCUUCUUCUAAGUUAAGCUAUCCAUAAUUAGUGUGUUAUUACUUUGGUGUGCGUACUCUACGAUAUAACUUGUAUUCAGUGAUUAAUAUAUAUAAGAGUGCUUUUGUUGGAA